Molecule: unclassified non-coding RNA, 117 nt
Organism: Pongo abelii (Sumatran orangutan)
Lineage: Eukaryota; Metazoa; Chordata; Mammalia; Primates; Hominidae
Rfam family: Metazoan signal recognition particle RNA
About the family: The signal recognition particle (SRP) is a universally conserved ribonucleoprotein.
Source: Ensembl
GCCGGGUGUGGUGGCUCACACUUGUAAUCCCAGCACUUUGGGAGGCCGAGGUGGGUGGAUCACCUGAGGUCAGGAGUUCAAGAUCAGCCUGACCAACAUGGUGAAACCCCGCCUCUA